RNAcentral lists this ribosomal RNA (253 nucleotides) under uncultured bacterium. Its description in RNAcentral is "partial 16S ribosomal RNA". It matches the Rfam family "Bacterial small subunit ribosomal RNA", at positions 524 to 776 of the family's 1533-position model. The record is from RNAcentral.
UACGUAGGGUGCAAGCGUUAAUCGGAAUUACUGGGCGUAAAGCGUGCGCAGGCGGUUAUGCAAGACAGAUGUGAAAUCCCCGGGCUCAACCUGGGAACUGCAUUUGUGACUGUAUAGCUAGAGUACGGUAGAGGGGGAUGGAAUUCCGCGUGUAGCAGUGAAAUGCGUAGAUAUGCGGAGGAACACCGAUGGCGAAGGCAAUCCCCUGGACCUGUACUGACGCUCAUGCACGAAAGCGUGGGGAGCGAACAGG